ACAUACGACCAUAGGCUACAGAGAACUCGGGAUCCCGUCCGCUCUCCCAUAGAUAAACUGCAAACCGCCAGAUUAGUAGUUGGGUGGGUGACCACCAGCGAAUCCCUGGUGUUGUAUGUU
Molecule: ribosomal RNA, 120 nt
Filed under: Pseudomassariella vexata
Lineage: Eukaryota; Fungi; Ascomycota; Sordariomycetes; Amphisphaeriales; Pseudomassariaceae
Source: RNAcentral